UAAGGCGCAGCAGCAGCGGCAGCCCCAGGCAGCCUGUAUGGAAUUACUGCAGUGACCUUGAGCCAGACCCUGUCAGGUGGAGGGAAGGACACUGAGAAGCCAGGACCUGGGAGGCCAGUUCAGAUGGGGCAGGAGGCAGGAGGGUACAGACUCUGGCCAGCCCGCAGCACUCAGGAGGAAAGUUGCUCGGCUGGCCGGGCAGGUCUGCCUCAGCAGUAACAGGACACAGGAGGACGCAGGGCGGGCAGGCGUGUUAACCCCUUCCUGCUGCCUCCAGGAGGGCGGGGCAUUCAGAGACAGUCCUGCCUGCUGGUGACCCCAGGAGGUGCAGAUCUGGAGCCAGGGACCCACUCUCAUCCCACAGUGGGGAUGGGUCCAGGAGCAGGGCAGAGGGGGAUCGGGGGCCGGCGGGCCAUGGGAGGACCUGGGCCGUGAGCUGACCUCACCGAGAUCCAGCACCAAGACAGAAAGGCACGGUGGAAGUGACCCCAUCGAUCAUCAGAAAUCUCACUGACAUCACCAGCAGCAAUUGGAACUUCUGAUCAAAUGAGAUCCGGAGUGUUACCACAAUGCACAGUGAUGUAAGCCCAGCUCCCAGCUGUCUGCCUCAGAGGAAGAGAAAGCACCACUACACACAUGCUGGCACAUUCAGCUGGCUUUGUGGCCUUCCCUCCCAAGCAACAGUAGCAAAAAAGAAAACAGAACACAAAACCUAGGUGAAUCUUUUAAGGACCCACAGAUCAUGAUGAAGUCUUUCCCAUGGCUGUACCCUUGCUACAGUGUGAAUGUGACCUGUCCUCACUGAAACUCAUGUUGAAAUUUGACUCCCAGUGUAAAGGUAUUGAGAGGAAACGCAACUUUUAAGAGUCACUAGGGCUCUACCCUCCAGAAGGGAUAAUGUCUUCAGGAACACGAGAGUUGUAAGCUCAUGGUGGUACCUGUGAUCCCAAUUACCUGGGAGACUAAGGCAGGAGGAUCACAAGUUGGGAGGCCAGCUUCAGCAACUUAGCAAGUUUAUAAAGGGGCUGUAAUUGCCGCUAGUGGCAGAGUGCUUGCAUAGCAUGAGCAAAGCCCUGGGUUUAAUCCCCAGUCCUGGGGGCGGGGUGAAUGGGGAACGUGAACUCUUUUGGGACUGGGUUAGUUAUUGCAGAGCAGGUUGUUAUGAGACUCCUGUGUUUUGCCCUCUUGCCCUUCAGCUUUCCACCAUGAGCUGAAGCAGUGAGGACCUUGCUAUCACCAAGUUCUCAGACUGAACAGUCUUCAGAUUGUGAGUCAAAAUAAACUUUUUUA
Molecule: long non-coding RNA, 1290 nt
Organism: Sciurus carolinensis (gray squirrel)
Lineage: Eukaryota; Metazoa; Chordata; Mammalia; Rodentia; Sciuridae
Exons: 4
Source: RefSeq, a predicted model, not a curated record